This is a non-coding RNA of Pelobates cultripes (western spadefoot toad), 941 nucleotides long. The record is from the annotation of a GenBank genome assembly. Lineage: Eukaryota; Metazoa; Chordata; Amphibia; Anura; Pelobatidae.
UUUCAAAUACAAUUAGUGUAGGCCUAAUGUAAUUUAAGAUGAUAUUUCUUCGAGUCCAUUACAAUUAAAUGUCUAUAGAUAGCUUGGCAUCGUACAGCAUUUGCUGUGAAUGUUCUGGAUCUUAGAAGAGUAAAUUUGGCUCAUGGAUAUGGGGAACAUCUAGGGCAAAGUGCUGGACAUGGUGCUGUCACCAUGGAAACCAAUAAUAUAUUUCUAUUCCAAGUUUAGUACUGUGCUUUGGAAUAGCUCUUUGUGCAAAUGGUUUAUUAUAAUAUAAGCAGCCCUAUGCUUCAGAUCCAAAUAUUAGAUUUUACCAUGUCAGAAUUAAACCAAUAGCUUCUAUGCAUUACAGAGCACAUUCAGAAGGGAAAAUUAACCAAAGACAUCUUAUUUAAUGAAAUAUUUCUACAAUGAUCAAAAGCCAGUUCCCUUCUGAUGAUGGCGUAAUUAAAUGAUUUUGAUGCUUAAACAGCAUUUGGUAUCCCAAUAUCUUAUGCAUGUGCUGAGAGUUUAUACCAUGGGCACAUCCAAGAUGAAUUCAACUUUCAAGAAACCUUUUUAUUUAGUCAUUCAUGAAAGAACAAUGAAUGUGUUUAGUUACUUCGGUUCUAUAGCUUUAUUCUAAAUCUCUUUUAACUCAAGCUAAAUCCAAAGAUCUAAGAAAGACUUAAUUAGCAAAAGCAACACUUACUCUUACUUAUGUAACAUAAUUCUCUUUUCACUGACGUUGACAAAGCCCUAUUGGCAGUGCCCAAUUUGGAAUGUAGUAGCAUGUCAUUUGCUUAUCAUAGAAUGGUCGUAUAUAUUUCAGGUUUUAGGGUUUAUUUUUAUUUUUUUAAUAUUGGCUGUUAUUUAUUUAUUAAUGCAAUUGAGACAAAGUUUAAUUAUUUAUAAUUUAAAGUGAACAAUGCUAUAUUUUUAAAUUAAUUCCUUUUUUCUUG